RNAcentral lists this long non-coding RNA (777 nucleotides) under Citrus sinensis (sweet orange). RNAcentral describes it as "long non-coding RNA (CSIN_LNC001176)". Lineage: Eukaryota; Viridiplantae; Streptophyta; Magnoliopsida; Sapindales; Rutaceae. The record is from RNAcentral.
GACAAUUUAGCUAAGUAUAUUUAUUGAACCCAUCAACAAAUAACAAUAACACAGCAAUUUUUUUUUCCCUACCUGAAAUGAAGCUUUUCAUUGAUUAACAAACAAAAGUUACAUUUCUUCAGCAGAACAAUCACAGCUUGAACUAAUAAUUGAAAAUGUUGCUAAAUCGUGACUUUUCAAUAGCUAAGGCACCAAAUCCCAAAAAAAAAUAAUAAUAAGGAAAUUACUUAAGUCACAGGGCUGUGACUUUUUUUUUUUUAAUUUAACUCAUUAACAAUAACAAAGAAAAACAGGAAAUUACUUAAGUCACAGGGCUGUGACAAUAAUAAUAAGGAAAUUACUUAAGUCACAGGGCUGUGACUUUUUUUUUUUUAAUUUAACUCAUUAACAAUAACAAAGAAAAACAUCUCAUUUCCACGUAAAAUGAAACUUUUCGUUGAUUGGAAAGCAAAGAACAAAGAAAAGCUGUAUUUCUUGCAGCCAAACAAUCACAGCUUGAACUAUCAAUAAAAUGUUUAAGUAAGGCACCAAAUUCAAAAAAGAAAAUUACUUAAGGCACAAUCCUGUGACUUUUUAGCCUACCAAUCCAAGCAACGAAGGAAUUCUUAGAAUUCCUGAAACCCAGGAACCCGUGCUCCUUACUCUUGUUCAUGCUAACUGAAUAACCCGCACCAACAUUCAUCACCAUAUCUGCAUACGACCAAACAGCGACCUCAUUCAAUUUUGUUGGCUGCAACUGAUUCUCUCUCACAAUCUCCUCCCACACACUUUCUUUAC